ACAUAUCCUUACGGUUUAAGCCCACAUGAAAUGUAAGGCUCGCCUUUAUAUUCAUAUGUAUUCAUAUCAAUCUCAAGCAGCGGUAAAAGCUAAUUCAUUAAUAUUUUAUUCAAUAAAAAAUAAAUUCUCCAAAACUAAUAAGAAAUAAAACAAAAUUUAAAAUAAUUUUUAUUUAAAGAUCACUAAGUAAAUAAUACCUAAAAUCCUAUGCUCCUCAC
This 218-nucleotide long non-coding RNA is filed under the name Elaeis guineensis (African oil palm). Its description in RNAcentral is "long non-coding RNA (EGUI_LNC008108)". The record is from RNAcentral. Lineage: Eukaryota; Viridiplantae; Streptophyta; Magnoliopsida; Arecales; Arecaceae.